RNAcentral lists this unclassified non-coding RNA (732 nucleotides) under Hevea brasiliensis (rubber tree). The record is from RNAcentral. Lineage: Eukaryota; Viridiplantae; Streptophyta; Magnoliopsida; Malpighiales; Euphorbiaceae.
GAUGCUGAAAUCCUACAAGCUUUGCAGGGAACGGGUUUUGAGAAAAUAGCCCAAUUGACAAGCACUUGUAGAUUGAACAAGUCACUAGUAGAAGCAUUACUAUUAAAGUUCAAUAAAGAAGAAGAUGGCAUUGUUCUAAAUGAACUUACUACAAUACACAUCACAUUGGAAGAUGUGUACUUUGUAUUGGGCAUUCCAAUCGAUGGGGAAGCUAUCAUUCAUAUAAUAAAAGAUGAAGAAGAAACAAUUUUAAGGAUAUGGGGGCGUGAGAUAUCUAAUGGUAAGGUUACCACAUCCCUUUUACUGAGAUAUAUAGGUAAUAACGAUAUAAGAAAAAGAACCAUCGCAUACGUCCUUUAUGUGCUAGGCACUUUCUUAUUGCCUCAGCCAAAAGAAGUACCAAUUAUGUAAAUUCAAUUUUUGAAAGAUGAGGACAAAAUCGGCACGUAUGCAUGGAAAGCAGUUGUUCUGGCCCAUUUAAUGUUUUCAAUAAAGAGAUGGAUAAAAGAUAGAAGGGACACUCUUUCUAGGUGGACAUUUUUGUUGGAGGUGAUUUUUUUGGAGAAGUUAUCACAGUUACCCACUAUGAUGAAUAUAAGAAAUUUUGAGCAGCAGCCACUUCCGUUUGUUUAUUGGGUGGCCAAGGCUUUUUUGGAAUAAGGAUCAUAGCAUUUCUAGGAACAGAGAUAUAAACUAUUUCACUACUUUUCUUACGAUCAGCAAGUAGAAAAU